UCAUUGUGGGAUAUUUAGGUUUGAACCAGUAAACCGCAUUAACAAUUCCUGAGAAAUAAAAAUAGAAGCCAGGUAAGAAAAUAAAAUCUAACCUUUUUUUUCCCUUUUCCUUCGUGCUCAGUCUAGUUUCACUGGCUCGCAGGGGCCGCAUGGAGAGGCCUCGCACCUGGAACUUCAGGCCCUUCAGCAGGCUGGCUGUGUGGGAGCAUUGCACUGGGUGCCCCACAGCAAUCAAGAUGGCGGCGAGGGUAGUAUGCAGAGGCUGUUCGCGAGACUCGGGUCCAGAGCCUCGCGAGAACUGCGCCCUUCCCAGCUGCCAGUCAAAGGGCCGCGCACAGGCUGUUGGGAGAGCACACGCUCUGGAGCAGGAGCUCGCCAUGUUGUAUCCUUGGCGAAGACUGACGCUUUCGUUUGCUUCUUAAGGCAACUGACUCUCGUUCCAUUGCCUCCAAGGACACUGGGUGGGAGGCCCCUUGCUGGCGCCCCACUUGGAAGAAUGCCUGACUGCUUUCCUCUCAAGUCAGGGAAAAGGAAGACAAGUAGAACCCAGGACCUCUUUUCCUUUUCAAACACAACAAACCUGUCUAGGACUCUCCCAGAAACCUCCUGUCACUGCUUCACUGGCCUGAACUGUGUCACGUGGCCAGGGUGGAGGAUGUGUAGUCCACACUGACUUUUUUGUAUUAACUAUUGAAGAAAGAGAAGCAAUGUCCAGAACCACACAGUCCGAGUCCUGUAUACACAAUAAUAAAGCUAUCAGUGUUCACCUUUAGUUUUUUUAAAUCUUAAAUGAUGAAGUGUUCGGAACACUGUGACGGGUCCAGAAUAAACAGUACAGCUGUCCUGUACUUCCCAUCGAGCUACUGGUUUCCAGCUCUCCCACUUCAGAGCCUUUACUGGUCGGUCCUUCUGGCAGAGAACAGCUUGCGUCAUUUAUCUGCGCAGCUUCCUCCCUUCUCUCCAUCCAGGCUGAUGGCGUCUCCUCAGACAGGCCUGCCGACCUUUCUCUGCAGCGAUGCAGCUGGAGUGGGCUCUGAAUGGCGAGCGAAAGGCACCCUCGGUUUCCCCGGGACGCGAGCCAGCCAGCCCUGCUUUCCUGUUUUUUCUAGCACUUACUGCAUGUAAAUAUGUAUUUGGUUCACUUGUCUGUUUGCUCCGACCAGAAUCCCGUCUGCAACUCCCUGAGGGCUUUGUUUUACCUACUAGUCAGCGCUCAGAACCAAGGCUCGCGCACAGUAAGCACUCAGUAAACAGCUGCUGAACCAAAGUGUUACCUGGGCAGACGUUGUGAGCACAGCAGGCUGGUAAUGAUUUGGUAGGGGUGGAUGAAUUCUUGCACUCUAGUAAAUGACCUUUGUCUUUUCAAGUGUAAUAUUUAAUAUUUAAUUAGUUUGGCAUGACAAGUUAAGUAUUUCAAGGCAGUUAAUCAUUUAUUCAUUUAAGAUAAAAGCUUGUUUUUACAUAGAAGUCUAAGGAAGAAAAUAAAAAUGGACUCUCAGCCUAUUGACCAAAAAAGCCUAUUGAUAGGCUUAAUAAAGCCUACUUAUAUCUCAGUAAAGAGAAACCUAUUUCUUUCUAGGAUAACAACAAAACAAAUGAUAAACGUACAUGCUUAUAGUUAGAAACCUGAGGUUGUGUAGAAAAGUAGAAGACGUUCCCCUCUGUGCUCUGCUGGUUCUGUCACAAAAAGAGACCCUUAUAACCAAUUACUCAUGAAUUGUUUCAGAAAAUUUUUCUGCGCCUAUAGGUAUACGUUUACUAGCAAAAUACUCAUGAUCUUAAGUUGCUUUAGACUCACACACAUCACAGUAGCUUCUUCCCCAGCCCUCGCAUGGUUUGUACUUAGAUAUUUAUUUGCUCAACUCUACGUUGACUCUCUUUCUUCCGCCCAGCUCUACCUGCCUAACCACCAUUGACUCCCCAGGGCCUGGCACACAGCAAGUCAUUUCUGUUUCUCAAAUAAUAAAGACCCAGAGAUGGCAAAACCCAAGGAUAGAUGAAGACUGUAAUAUUAGGGGAAAGUUCUAGGCCUCCAUGCCCUAUUUAUACUUCUAGGCGUCUUCCUUUCUCACCAGUCUCAACAGUCAGAAUGCUGUGAGCCUUUGAGCGGAGCUCUAAGUACUGUGUCUGAACAGUCCGUCUUGUCGCAAAGGUGCGCUUCCCGUCUCUACUUAGCCCAGCAGACGAAGCAAAGAUCUGAAGACUCACUGAACACUGACAAAACAAGAAAGCAGAAAAUUCCUCUACCACAAGAGAAACUUCUUGACAGUGUAAAAAAAAAAACCAACCAAAUCCACCUGGCUUCUAAGAAGCAGGCCUGCAGCUCAGAGUCAAAACACAGGAAGUGAGUUGUAAAUGGCACAAUGAAUAAAACAACUAUUUUGGGGGGUGAAACAGAAUCUGGUCUCUGAUCUUUAGAUGUCACCUCUCAAAGUGAGGAGGGACUGUGGAGUCAAAACGCUCACCCAGUGGCCCCUUUUUCAAAAAGAAGCAGCCAGCGUACACCUCAGUAAAUAAACUGGAAAAAAAAAGAUUGCAUUACACACUUAAAACAGGUAAAUUUUAUGGCAUGUAAAUUAUAUCUCAAUUAAGGUGUUAAAAAAAACCACACACACAGAGCCAAAGUAACAGUGAAAAGGUGUUUUCUUUUGCCAGCAGUCAGCCAGUACAGAUUCCGGGGGUGGGGGGUGUGUGUGUGUGGUGUGUGUACAGAUUCAGGGGUGGGGGUGUGUGUGUGUGUGUGUGUGGUGUGUCUGUACAGAUUCAGGGGUGGGGUGUGUGUGUGUGUGUGCAGAUUCAGGGUGUGUGCGUGUGUGUGUGGUGUGUCUGUACAGAUUCAGGGUGUGUGUGUGUGUGGUGUGUGUCUGUGUGAAAACUGGUCUGUGAGUCCAGAGCACACCAGGGUGGUGUGUGUGUGUGUGUGUGCUGUCUGUCUGUCUGUGUGAAAACUGGUCUGUGAGUCCAGAGCACACCAGGGUGUGGAAGACUUAAAGGUCACUGUUCCGUAUUAUGCAGAAAACAUGUGCAGAGCCAAGAAGGCGAAAACAGUACUUUAAUAAAAAGACGUGGGACUGGGGGGGUCUCCCGACGAGCAAAAGCAGUUGGAAAGAUGACCCUUCUGUCCGGGAGGCGUUACCUGGCCCUCCUACGGGGGCGAAACCGCAGAGCGUAAAAGCUUGCCUCCCCGUGGCCUGCUGAUUCCGUUCCCUUGUAAUACAGGCUUGUUCCAUGUGCCAGGAUUCAGAGAUUUAUGGAGGCAGAGUGCACAGGGAAUUAUUUCCGAAAGAAAUAAUCCCAGGAGUAGUGAGAGGGGAGGAGGGAGAGAAAGAGGGAAAGAGAAACAGAAAGAUUAAUCUCCAGGACAGAGGAAGAUUGGCGGUAACGCCAUUCAAGUAUGAACCGCCACAAGAACUAGGAACUGACGAGGGUGCCUUAAGCAGAGCCUCUGUGGGGACUGGACGAGUGAAGUGAAACCCGGAGGGGAGGCUGGGCGGAGCGGGCCCGCGGCCCGCCAGCAGCGGGGCUCUGCAGUGGGGCCGCGCGCUGGGUUUGCCGCCCUGGGACUGGGGGGAAAGGC
Molecule: long non-coding RNA, 3577 nt
Filed under: Capra hircus (goat)
Lineage: Eukaryota; Metazoa; Chordata; Mammalia; Artiodactyla; Bovidae
Description: lncRNA (ENSCHIG00000002373.1)
Source: RNAcentral